GGGCUUAUGAUGAAAUCUCAUUAUCUUAGCGGAUUUCAGUGAGAUAAAUUUGUCAAUGAUCUGAUUGUUACACACGCUGAAGCCU
RNAcentral lists this small nucleolar RNA (85 nucleotides) under Nelumbo nucifera (sacred lotus). Its description in RNAcentral is "Small nucleolar RNA R11/Z151". It matches the Rfam family "Small nucleolar RNA R11/Z151". Rfam says of the family: snoR11/Z151 is a member of the C/D class of snoRNA which contain the C (UGAUGA) and D (CUGA) box motifs. Most of the members of the box C/D family function in directing site-specific 2'-O-methylation of substrate RNAs. The record is from Rfam by way of RNAcentral. Lineage: Eukaryota; Viridiplantae; Streptophyta; Magnoliopsida; Proteales; Nelumbonaceae.